AUACUUACCGGGCAGGAAGAUACCAUGAUCAUGAAGGUGGUUUUCCAGGGUGAGGCUUAUCCAUUGCACUCCAGAUGUGCUGACUCCUAUAGUUUCCCCAAAUGUGGGAAACUGGACUGUAAAAUUUAUGGUAGGAGGGGACUGUGUUUGGGCUCUCCCCUA
This 162-nucleotide small nuclear RNA is filed under the name Castor canadensis (American beaver). RNAcentral describes it as "U1 spliceosomal RNA (ENSCCNG00000023088.1)". It matches the Rfam family "U1 spliceosomal RNA". From Rfam's summary of the family: U1 is a small nuclear RNA (snRNA) component of the spliceosome (involved in pre-mRNA splicing). Its 5' end forms complementary base pairs with the 5' splice junction, thus defining the 5' donor site of an intron. Lineage: Eukaryota; Metazoa; Chordata; Mammalia; Rodentia; Castoridae. The record is from Rfam by way of RNAcentral.